UGAAUAGCAUCGAUGAGAAUUAGUACCCAGUGAGGGUGGUGCAGAGAGACGGUGGUUGGUGUGAACCGUUCUACUCUACUGGGGAAUCCCUCUCGGAGCUGGGCGUGAAAGGGCUCGAUCCCUAAAGCGUCUCCGGUUAGCGACCGUGAUCCCGCACAGAAGAGGAUCGAGGGCAGUUUCCUCGAUUAAAUUAGGGUGGCAACGCGGAACCUUCCGUCCCUUGG
This 224-nucleotide non-coding RNA is filed under the name Marininema halotolerans. RNAcentral's name for it is "T-box sequence". It matches the Rfam family "T-box leader". Rfam says of the family: Uncharged tRNA acts as the effector for transcription antitermination of genes in the T-box leader family. T-boxes are found upstream of many aminoacyl-tRNA synthetase genes and some amino acid biosynthetic genes usually in Gram-positive bacteria. The record is from RNAcentral. Lineage: Bacteria; Bacillati; Bacillota; Bacilli; Caryophanales; Thermoactinomycetaceae.